AUUUUAAAAUAAUAUUAUAUAUAUAGUAUGAUCUCUUAACGCAUUAAAAAAAAGAUAUUCAGGCACAUUUUACACAUGUUUUAUAUGUAUAUAUUAUAAGUCUGAAUUAUGUAAAUGCUUUCUAAAGGUUUUUUCCCAGUUUACAUAUCUUAGAGAAGUUUUAUCUCUUUUUAAAUUCAAAUCAGAAAAGAAAAAAUAAAUAUCAAAAAGUCAGUAUAGAUGAGUUAUGAGUUGUUGGACUUUAAAAUCAACAUUGAAAAAUUACAUCAAUGAGAUAACAUUAGUUUUAUAAACAACUGGAUAAAAUUUGACCGAGCUAAAAAUGUUCACACAUAUAUUCUUUCUUCUUCAAAUUGCGAAGAGCCGAGUAGGCACAAGGAAAAAUAAUCAGAAAAAAAUAUUUCACUUAUAUAACAUUUCUUUUCCUUUACACAGAAAGUUUAUUACACUGCUACGGGCAAUGGGAGAACUCUAUUCAUAUAAGAUUCACAUCUAUGCAUUUUGAAUCGAACUGCUUUCAAUUGGUGAGGCUAAUUGACAAAGAAGAAUUUUGGCCAUCUUUACUAAAAUAUAGAUAUUGCUGUCAGAAAAGAAUAUAAACACUUCUUCCAUCAACAACAAAUAUUAACUUAUUUAUGUGAAUAUAUCUUUUACUUUAGAUCAUUUUAGUGGACGAAAAAAACACCAUAAUUUCUACAACAAAUUCUCUUAGAUUCACCUCAUCAUACCCACCAUUUUACCAUUUUAAUUACAUAAUUUUACAUGAGCUUCUUCACCCUCUCCGGUUAUUUUCUAUUUAUUUAUAACUACAAUAUAAAGUUAUAAAAUAUAUAUUAUAAAUUAAUAAUUUAUUUACCUUUAAAGUCUAACGAUUAAAAAUAGAACAUAAUCCAAUAUAGAUAUAUGAUUCUAUUAAUAAAUUAGCAGUUACAAAUUUAAAAUUUCUAAAAAUAUCAAAAUUCGUAUGUUAGUUAUCUUCUAAAUGACGUCUAUUUCUAAUUAUUUUUAAUUUAAUGUAGUUUUAUUAUUUUUAAUUUAGUAGUUUAGUGUUACAUCUGAACAUAUCUAAAUAUUCCAUUACACCAACAUUAAAAUAAGAUAAAAACUGAAUCUAUAAAGUUUGAUUAAUAACUAAAGCUAUGGAUGAAAUUAUCAUACUUAUUUUACAAAAAAUAUUUAGAAAUAAAAAAAAGCUUAAUUUUUAAAAUAAAUAAAUAAAUAUAUUUUUUUGACAACAAAAUAAUAAAUAAAUAAAUAUCUAAUAAUGAAAUAUUACUAUUCUAACAGUAUUGAUUUAAAGAGUUUUGGCUGUCUGCUUGGGAAUUGAGUUUUGACUUUAGCAGUAGAGCAUUCUUUGUCAGACUUUUCAAAGAACUAAUCUUUUAUAUUGCUUUGUGAAAGAUUUACAGAAGAUUGAUUAUGAAUUUAUUGAAAAUAUUAACAAAGAUAAAUCUUUUAAAGCGAGUAAGAUAAGAUGUAAUUAUGUGCAAAAUUAAAGUUAAUUGUUUCUCAAAUGAUAAUUACAUGACUUCAAGCAUGUAAAACAAUGGACAAACAAAUAGGAGAUAUUUUUAUUGGGAGAUCUUCAUAGAAGCACUAAGAAACACAAAACAACGAAUGUAAAACUGCAUAUUGUACAACAGAUUUCUCUAAAAAGAGGCAACAAAGAAAAUUAACAGCAACCCAAUGGGUUCUUCCAUCUUCAAUUUUCAAACACAGAACAUGUGGACAACACUAUCACGAAUCCUCAACUUUUAGGUGUUUGCAACACAUUCACAUUUCAGCUCCUAACUGAAAUGACCCGAUCACCAAAGUCCCUACCAUGCAUCUCUCUGAUGGACUCGUGGAUGGCCCUGGCAAUCUGCGAAGGUGAUAAACCAGAAUCCACGUGAACGACCAGUAUAUAUUUCGAGCGUGAUCUAUACAUAUUACACGACAAAAGCCAAUUCCCAAACUGAGCAGAAGAGCAGUAGUAAGAUUAACACGAAUGCAAAAUCUGAAAGUUCAUACGAAUUUAUUCUAAGGUAUACUGUAUAGCACUAACCCUGCCUUUUGUCAAGUAAAUUUUUACUCAAUUUCUACUUCAGAGAAUAACACAUUAAAGAUCCCCGAAACUUAGGCAGCUUCUAAGCAUUCAAUCCAAAGCAGAAGUAAAAGACAACACUAAAACUUUGCUCAGUCCUAAAUGUCAACGAACCUAGUAAAUUUUGCAGAGUUAAUAAUACUAUCAUAUUAUUGUCAGAAGUCAGAAAGUAAGCAAUUUUGGAGACAUGAGACUAAUUUGCAGAAUUUGUAUGAUGAGAUAAGACAAUACCAUGGGUUGAACGAUGGCCACAACCAAAACUUCAGGUUUGUAUCGCAUAACUUUAAUUUUCUCUUCUGGGCUCACUUCUUCCUCGGGUCACCAUGUUAGUUUUCCAGAUGUAUAAGAAAAUUUAUGUGGUCACAUAUCACUCUGCUCUAGCUCAUGCCGCUACUCAACUUCAAGUAUUUGUAACUCAAAGAACGGAAGCGGGAAAAUCCAACUGCAACACCAAAUCCCCCUGGUAUUCCAAAUUCAGGGGAUAUCUGAAGUAACACUUGGGGAUAAACUCUGUUAUAAAUCAGUCAAUGGACCCCAUUAGAAACUUUCUAAAUGACCAUAACUGCUCAGCACUAUACCCAAAACGUUCACAUUCAUGUUCAAAAACAUGACAUAAGGAAUUGAUCCCUGUAAAUGAGAGAAACGACAACUCAAGUAUGUUCUGGAAGUGAAGAUCAGUAAACUUCUUUUAUAUUUAGCUUCAUGCAUUUAUGUGCUAAUAAUGCAUAUAUCAAACUCUUGUUAAUUUAGACAUUAUGGCACACAAUAAAAGGAAAAAAAACUAUUACAGCAAGGCCAACUCUCAACCCAAGUCUCUACGAUCAAUGUUAAGUUAAUACACAAACACAAUGAUCCAGCAAGUGAGAUUUUUUUUGUAAAUUAUUAUUUUAGCAAAAUGAGCAAUACAACCAUUUUUAUUUUUACGUACUUGCGAUAUUCUCAACUUUCGGUGUCUAAUAAUGCAGCAUGUAGGUAUGAGGCAACGUAGUAUAUAUGAUCAACUUGAAAAUGAAUGUGUGUAUAAGAUGUACCUGUCUAAGAUGAGGGUACAUAUACAAAUUCACUCUCAUAUACAUAAUUCAUUCUCAACUUUCGAUAUUCUCAACUUUCGUACUUGCGAUAUUCUCAACUUUCGGUGUCUAAUAAUGCAGUUCGUAGUUAUGAGGCAACGUAGUAUAUAUGAUCAACUUGAAAAUGAAUGUGUGUAUAAGAUGUACCUGUCUAAGAUGAGGGUACAUAUACAAAUUCACUCUCAUAUACAUAAUUCAUUCUCUCAACGCAUAAAACAUUAUGAGAGUGUGAAUUAAUUAAUAAGUAUUGCAGAAGAUCAAGCCCCCCGUGUCAAGAAAAAUCUAUAGAAAAUUCAAAAACGGUUUCACUUUGGCAAGAUAGAAUAUUGUGUGCAAUAUAACACAAAGUGGAGAUGAGUGAUCAAACACAACCGAUGAAGCAAUGAUCAACUUAUUGAUUGAAGAAAACACAGUUUUGCAUAAGCUGGAUGAUUUAUAGAAAGAGUUCAAAAAGCCAACUUAAAUAUCCCAGUUGGAGCUCUAUAAAUUUAAAAUAGAUAGUGAACAAAUAUUCUCCAAGCUAACGUUAUAAACAGAAGUAGAGAUGGUUCCGCAAUGAUGAUCAAAUAAGUAUCACAUUAGCAACCGAGUACAAACAAUUUGGAAAACAUUAAAUGUUAUGAUUCUCAGUGAGGUUAUUAUGCUAAAGGGAUAAACGAUUACCUCCAAGACAUUUUGUGUUCGCUGUAGUGACUAAUUUACAUAUGCUGUAAAUUUCUUGCAGAACUCUGUUGCAGACUGGUCCCAAAGGUACAGCUUCAUAACAGCCCCCUGCAAAAGGCAAAAGUUUAUUAAUAACGGGUUAAGCGCAGUACGGAGAGGGCGUGAUUUUAAUAACAGGAAACACAUAAUCUUGUGAUUGCAGAUGACCCAUAACAUGCCGGGUUCUUGCUAUCUUCACUUCGUCGAGGAUGGGGUGGUCAAUUAGAGACUGUCCACUGACCAGCUUCGUGUAACAUCUACACCGUUGUUCAAAAAGAAUAUAAGUUAAAUAUGGCAGAAAAAAAACAGUAAUAUUUAAUCACCACUUGAAAUAAAAACACUUAUUCACAAUGUAGACAACAAAUCCCAUCGCGACUAUGCUACACUUUGAUGAUCAACAAAAGCAUAAAAUAUUCAUUCAUGGACAGGUCGCUCUUUGUAGAGUUACUUUAAAAGAAUGAUUAAAAAUAAUAUAAAGAGAAACCAAAACUCUAAAAGAGAAAGAAAUUGUUUGCCAGGUUGUUUUCAUUUGAGAUUUUAUGCAUUGAACUAUUUACAUUGAAGUAAGUAUCGAUGAAGUUUUGUCAAAAAAAAAAGUAUCGAUGAAGAUUUGGCACCAAUUUAUAUAUGAGGAGAAAGAGAAGGA
Molecule: long non-coding RNA, 4501 nt
Organism: Brassica rapa (field mustard)
Lineage: Eukaryota; Viridiplantae; Streptophyta; Magnoliopsida; Brassicales; Brassicaceae
Source: RefSeq, a predicted model, not a curated record